RNAcentral lists this ribosomal RNA (299 nucleotides) under uncultured soil bacterium. RNAcentral's name for it is "partial 16S ribosomal RNA". It matches the Rfam family "Bacterial small subunit ribosomal RNA", at positions 26 to 337 of the family's 1533-position model. The record is from RNAcentral.
AGAGCGAACGCUGGCGGCAGGCCUAACACAUGCAAGUCGAACGGACUCUUCGGAGUUAGUGGCGGACGGGUGAGUAACACGUGGGAACGUGCCUUUUGGUUCGGAAUAGCUCCUGGAAACGGGUGGUAAUGCCGAAUGUGCCCCCCUCCUUUGAUCGGGGGGGUGGAAAGAUUUAUCGCCAUUAGAGCGGCCCGCGUCUGAUUAGCUAGUUGGUGAGGUAAAGGCUCACCAAGGCGACGAUCAGUAGCUGGUCUGAGAGGAUGACCAGCCACAGUUGGGACUGAGACACGGCCCAAACU